UACGGAGGGGGCAAGCGUUAUUCGGAUUUACUGGGCGUAAAGGGUGUGUAGGCGGUCGUGCAAGUCUGGUGUGAAAUCUUCACCACUCAACGGGAAGAGGUCACUGGAAACUGCGCGACUUGAGUUUGGUAGAGGCUAGCGGAAUUCCUGGUGUAGCGGUGGAAUGUGUAGAUAUCAGGAAGAACACCUGUGGCGAAGGCGGCUAGCUGGGCCAAUACUGACGCUGAGACACGAAAGCGUGGGGAGCAAACGGG
RNAcentral lists this ribosomal RNA (254 nucleotides) under uncultured bacterium. RNAcentral's name for it is "partial 16S ribosomal RNA". It matches the Rfam family "Bacterial small subunit ribosomal RNA", at positions 524 to 776 of the family's 1533-position model. The record is from RNAcentral.